RNAcentral lists this ribosomal RNA (375 nucleotides) under Thraustochytrium sp. RNAcentral's name for it is "partial small subunit ribosomal RNA". It matches the Rfam family "Eukaryotic small subunit ribosomal RNA", at positions 587 to 975 of the family's 1831-position model. The record is from RNAcentral. Lineage: Eukaryota; Bigyra; Thraustochytrida; Thraustochytriidae.
AGCUCCAGAAGCGUAUGCUAAAGUUGUUGCAGUUAAAAAGCUCGUAGUUGAAUUUCUGGUUAGGUUUGACCGUGGGGAGCCUUCUUUUGAGGGUUCUUUUUUUCUGCGUGUCGAGCUCGCCAUCCUGGCUGGUGUGUUCGCAUACUAGCCUCGUUUACUGUAAAUAAAAUAGAGUGUUCAAAGCAGGUCGUAGGACCGGGAUAUUUCUUAUGGGAUAAUAAGAUAGGACUGGCGUGCUAUUUUGUUGGUUUGUACAUGUCAGUAAUGAUUAAUAGGGACAGUUGGGGGUAUUCGUAUUUAGCAGCUAGAGGUGAAAUUCUUGGAUUUGCGAAAGACGAACUACUGCGAAGGCAUUUACCAAGGAUGUUUUCAUUA